Molecule: ribosomal RNA, 700 nt
Filed under: uncultured bacterium
Lineage: Bacteria
Description: bacterial SSU rRNA
Rfam family: Bacterial small subunit ribosomal RNA
Source: RNAcentral
AGAGUUUGAUCCUGGCUCAGGAUGACGCUGCGCAGCUACACAUGCAAGUCGAGCGGUAGAGAGAAGCUUGCUUCUCUGAGAGCGGCGGACGGGUGAGUAAUGCCUAGGAAUCUGCCUGGUAGUGGGGGAUAACGUUCGGAAACGGACGCUAAUACCGCAUACGUCUACGGGAGAAAGCAGGGGACUUUCGGGCCUUGCGCUAUCAGAUGAGCCUAGGUCGGAUUAGCUAGUUGGUGGGGUAAUGGCUCACCAAGGCGACGAUCCGUAACUGGUCUGAGAGGAUGAUCAGUCACACCGGAACUGAGACACGGUCCAGACUCCUACGGGAGGCAGCAGUGGGGAAUAUUGGACAAUGGGCGAAAGCCUGAUCCAGCCAUGCCGCGUGUGUGAAGAAGGUCUUCGGAUUGUAAAGCACUUUAAGUUGGGAGGAAGGGUUGUAGAUUAAUACUCUGCAAUUUUGACGUUACCGACAGAAUAAGCACCGGCUAACUCUGUGCCAGCAGCCGCGGUAAUACAGAGGGUGCAAGCGUUAAUCGGAAUUACUGGGCGUAAAGCGCGCGUAGGUGGUUAGUUAAGUUGGAUGUGAAAUCCCCGGGCUCAACCUGGGAACUGCAUUCAAAACUGACUGACUAGAGUAUGGUAGAGGGUGGUGGAAUUUCCUGUGUAGCGGUGAAAUGCGUAGAUAUAGGAAGGAACACCA